This 253-nucleotide ribosomal RNA is filed under the name uncultured bacterium. Its description in RNAcentral is "partial 16S ribosomal RNA". It matches the Rfam family "Bacterial small subunit ribosomal RNA", at positions 524 to 776 of the family's 1533-position model. The record is from RNAcentral.
UACGUAGGGUGCAAGCGUUAAUCGGAAUUACUGGGCGUAAAGCGUGCGCAGGCGGUUAUGCAAGACAGAGGUGAAAUCCCCGGGCUCAACCUGGGAACUGCCUUUGUGACUGCAUGACUAGAGUACGGUAGAGGGGGAUGGAAUUCCGCGUGUAGCAGUGAAAUGCGUAGAUAUGCGGAGGAACACCGAUGGCGAAGGCAGCCUUCUGGGCCAACACUGACGCUCAUGCACGAAAGCGUGGGGAGCAAACAGG